RNAcentral lists this ribosomal RNA (452 nucleotides) under uncultured bacterium. RNAcentral's name for it is "bacterial SSU rRNA". It matches the Rfam family "Bacterial small subunit ribosomal RNA", at positions 28 to 520 of the family's 1533-position model. The record is from RNAcentral.
AACGAACGCUGGCGGCGCGCUUAACACAUGCAAGUCGCACGGCGGGGCCUCGGCCCCGCAGUGGCGCACGGGUGAGUAACGCGUGGGAACCUGCCCCGGGGCCCGGGACAACCGCGGGAAACUGCGGCUAAUACCGGGUACGCCUUUCGAGGGAGAGGGCUUCGGCCCGCCCCGGGAUGGGCCCGCGUCCGAUUAGCUAGUUGGCGGGGUAACGGCCCACCAAGGCUCCGAUCGGUAGCCGGUCUGAGAGGAUGAUCGGCCACACUGGGACUGAGACACGGCCCAGACUCCUACGGGAGGCAGCAGUGGGGAAUCUUGGACAAUGGGCGCAAGCCUGAUCCAGCGACGCCGCGUGGGUGACGAAGGCCCUCGGGUUGUAAAGCCCUUUUGCCGGGACGAUGAUGACGGUACCGGCGAAUAAGCACCGGCUAACUCCGUGCCAGCAGCCGCCG